AGUGAACGCUGGCGGCGUGCUUAACACAUGCAAGUCGAACGAGAACGGAUUAUAGCUUGCUAUAAUUGUCAGCUAAGUGGCGCACGGGUGAGUAAUGUAUAGGCAAUAUGCCUCUUACUAAGGGAUAACAAAUGGAAACGUUUGCUAAUACCUUAUACUCCUUAUUAACAUAAGUUAAUAAGGGAAAGAUUUAUUGGUAAGAGAUUAGCCUGUAUUGUAUCAGUUAGUUGGUGGGGUAAUGGCUUACCAAGACUAUGACACAUAACUGGUUUGAGAGGAUGAUCAGUCACACUGGAACUGAGACACGGUCCAGACUCCUACGGGAGGCAGCAGUGGGGAAUAUUGCACAAUGGACGAAAGUCUGAAGCAGCAACGCCGCGUGGAGGAUGACACAUUUCGGUGCGUAAACUCCUUUUAUAUGAGAAGAUAAUGACGGUAUUAUAUGAAUAAGCACCGGCUAACUCCGUGCCAGCCGCCGCCGUAA
Molecule: ribosomal RNA, 484 nt
Filed under: uncultured bacterium
Lineage: Bacteria
Description: partial 16S ribosomal RNA
Rfam family: Bacterial small subunit ribosomal RNA
Source: RNAcentral